This 461-nucleotide long non-coding RNA is filed under the name Sus scrofa (pig). RNAcentral's name for it is "lncRNA (ENSSSCG00015061333.1)". The record is from RNAcentral. Lineage: Eukaryota; Metazoa; Chordata; Mammalia; Artiodactyla; Suidae.
CCCUCAGACCCCUACUGGACAAGGACGGAUAGAGUUUUAGCUCAUGUGCUCAUCUGUUCUCCGCUGCACACGGAACAGAGAACUUACAACACAGCUCGUGAGAACUGCUGGAGCGCUGGAUGAUGUCACCCUACAGAGGCCUGAACUUGCUUCUGUCAGAUACUGAAACUGAGGCUCAGGAACACAUACCUAACCUUCCCUGUUACUACUGCCUACCCAACAACUCGUAUUUUCCCUGUUUAUAGAUGAAGAAAUCACCUUCUGAGAGGUUGAGAGGCUUGUUCAUGAUCAUGUGACUCCUAAGUAGGUGAACAGGAUGUGAAUCAACCUCAUUCGACACCAAAGUUUAGAUUCUGAAACACUGCCACACGCUAGCUUUAAAAACCUUUUAAACCACUUCACACCUGUGGGCAUAGCUAUCACCAAAAGGACGUAGCUGAGGCCGUGGAGAACCCCAAACU